CCUACGGGAGGCAGCAGUGGGGAAUAUUGCACAAUGGGGGGAACCCUGAUGCAGCGACGCCGCGUGAGUGAAGAAGUAUUUCGGUAUGUAAAGCUCUAUCAGCAGGGAAGAAAAUGACGGUACCUGACUAAUAAGCCCCGGCUAACUACGUGCCAGCAGCCGCGGUAAUACGUAGGGGGCAAGCGUUAUCCGGAUUUACUGGGUGUAAAGGGAGCGCAGACGGCUGUGCAAGUCUGGAGUGAAAGGCGGGGGCCCAACCCCCGGACUGCUCUGGAAACUGUAAAGCUGGAGUGCAGGAGAGGGAAGCGGAAUUCGUGGUGUAGCGGUGAAAGGCGUAGAUAUUAGGAGGAACACCAGUGGCGAAGGCGGCUUACUGGACUGCAACUGACGUUGAGGCUCGAAGGCGUGGGGAGCAAACAGGAUUAGAUACCCGGGUAGUC
This 440-nucleotide ribosomal RNA is filed under the name uncultured bacterium. RNAcentral's name for it is "partial 16S ribosomal RNA". It matches the Rfam family "Bacterial small subunit ribosomal RNA", at positions 338 to 795 of the family's 1533-position model. The record is from RNAcentral.